Molecule: long non-coding RNA, 9448 nt
Filed under: Brachypodium distachyon (stiff brome)
Lineage: Eukaryota; Viridiplantae; Streptophyta; Magnoliopsida; Poales; Poaceae
Description: long non-coding RNA (BDIS_LNC004695)
Source: RNAcentral
ACUCCUCCUCCUCCCUCUCGUUCUCUCUCUCCUUUUUUUUUUCUCUCCCGGCCUCUGUCUUUUCUCCUUUCUCUCCCGGGCUCACCAGUCACCGCGCCGCUGCCUGGAUCUCCUCAUUCCGGCCAUGCCCGGCCAAGCUGAGGCCAGCCCCAGAUUCCUCUCUCCCUCCUCUUCUAGAUCCCCAAGCUAAUUUAUACUAAUCGACACCUAUCCAUUCCGAAUUUGAAACCCUAGUUAUUGGGCUGCCAUGGCCGCCCCCGUCUCCCUCGGUCCGGCGAGGCCAACUUUGUCGUCUCCGGCGACCACGAUGCUUCUUCUUACGAGUUCUCUAGAAGCAUGCACAACUACAUCGACGAGAACUGCCACGGCUUCAUGGCACAGCUCAGGUGCCGCGGCCGUCGCCGACCACGGCGAGACCGGGUCAGGCCUACUCCUUCCCAGUUUGCUGGCAUCGGGACCGGCGGUCCGUUGUGCGCAGCCUACUGCUAAGUACUCUUAACAAGUUAAGUCCUUCUCUCUCACUGACAGCAAGCUUCUAGUGGUGUGCAUGUGCAAAGAGUUGAGUGAUUUGUGUGUGAGCAAACAAAAUAGUGAUUAAACUAGCAUAGCGACGAUGUGAUCUACUCACUCCUGUCGGAGCACGGGUCUCCGGCACCGGGGUGUUAGACAUCCCCUUUUUUGGUUCGGUGGAGGGCGAGGCGAUCGCCGACGUGACGAGAGACACGAAGUGUCGACGCGUGAGUUUAUCCAAGUUCAGGCCACCCGAAAGUGUAACACCCUACGUUCUGCUUUGUGUUGUAUUCACAAGAAUGUGUGUGGGUUCUUACAGAUUGUCCUCAGGGGUUUCCGGGGGAACUACUUGUUCUCCCAGGAGAUCUUGCUUACUCCUUGCUUCUACUAACUGGGGUUCGGACUAGAACUGGACCUAGAACCCUUUGGCCGGUGGCAUUGGUCCUCCUUUUAUAGACAAGGGAUACCACAGGUGCUGACGCAUGCAGCGCAACACGUUAGCUACACGCGUGUCAUCGCCACAGGAAUUACCCUACUGUAGAUCCAUGUUGGGCUUCAUGCAGCGCCCAAGCUACUGUGCAUCGUAGGCAAAACAGCUCUUAGGGUAGCCGCUCUAGACUUGUUGAGUAAGAUUAGCCCUACCGAUGUGACUCCUAUCGGUGCAUUAAAUGCACCACGCCCGUUGUGUGGUCUUGUCUCCACUGUUCCGUCGGCCCCACCUUCGACCCCCGAAGCCUCGGUACCCGGGAGCGCCCUGGUACCGCUGCCCGGCAAUUUGCAAGGGAGCGAACUAGUAGCUUUCCGGGUUCGCCCUUCCUGGGAAGCCGGCCUUGCGGGAUCUCAUCAAUUGCGACCCACGCGUCCCGUGCCAGUGGGGCCUCGUGGGCCACUGGUACGACAGUAGCCCUCGGGUGUGGGCCGGCAACCUUGAGCUCCCGGGCAGUAUCGUCCUCGGUCGGUUGCCGGGCUACGCCCUUCUGUCGUGUGGGUCCCCAGACCAAGCGGAUGCACGACCACUGGCCCCACUAUUCCUUUGCGAGCAGGGAGUUAUGGCCACGUCGCGCAUGCUGUCUUGAUUCCUUUGAAUCUUUAGGGCGCUUGAUUACCGAUCGUGUGUGUGUGUGGGGGGGGGGGGGGACGCCCGUUGCAAUCCCGCCUGCCGGAUAUAAAUACCCAGGGGCGGCAUCACAAGGACUCCCCUCCGCCACAGCCCUUGCCAUUGCCUCCCCCGAGCCCCCUUGCGCUCCAACUCCUGAAAAGCCUCCCACCUUUCUCCUCCCUCCCUCCACCGUUGGCACCCAAAGGCCCAGCACGUCCCAAGGGCACUAGCAGCAAGGGAGAGAAGAGCGGCAAGAAGGAAAUGUCGGAGCGAGAGCGCAGAGACAAGGAGAAGAGGGCUCAGUUCGCGUUCUUCAAGCCCGGCUACAACGGCGAGGCUGUGGAGAAGCUGCGCUUAGCGGUGGCCACCAAGCACAAUGAGCACGACCCGACGCGCAUCCUGCCCGUCGGGUCGGAUCCCGGCGAGCACUACUACCAGGUGUUCAUGAGGUUCAUCCUCUCCGGGUUCGUGCCGCGCACUCCCUUUUCCUCCACGCUAUCCUCUCUGCGUACCGCUUGCAGCUGGCGCAGAUUCAUCCCACCUCCUUCUUCAAGCUGGCCAUCUUCCAGUACCUCUGCGAGGCGUUCGUGGGGGUGAUGCCGUCCGUGGCGUUCUUCCGCCACUACUACUAUCCUCGCGUCGAGAAGGGCGAGGCAAUGUCUUCCGGGGUCUCGUUCCGGUUCCGGGACGGGCUCAAAUCGGAGUUCAUCGUCACGGAGGACCGGAAGAUCGAGGCGGAGUGGUGCACAGACUGGUGCUGGCUCUACAUCGAGGAGCACGACGAGGCCUACACCAAGCCCACCUCGUUGCCGAAGAAGUCCCGCGACUGGCGGGACCGUGACGCCAGGGACGCCAAACUCGUGCCGAUCUGUGACAAGAUUGUUGCGCUGCGGCGUGCGGGGCUCACGGAUCUGGACGUGGCCCAGAGCUUCAACGCGAGGCGCAUCGCUCCGCUGCAGCACCGGACUCACCCGGUCUGGACCUACUCGGGGGAAGACGACCGGAUGAGGCUGCAGUGAGGCGAGCUGACGACGGAGCAGAUCCGCACGUGGCUCAGGGGGAUCACCAGCGACAACUCCCCCUUCACCGGGCUUCCUUCGGGUGUGAUCGCGCUCCAUGCGAACGUCGCCAACCCGGGAGCCAGCAACUACGCACCCUACAACGAGUGGGGCAUCAUGGCGGGGACCCCGUCAAGUAGCCCUCCCCCGCGACCAAGGGCCCAGACCGGGAAGCAACCGAUGGCCGAGAGCAAGGAGGAGGAGGAGGAUGACUCGGACGGGGAUUCCGAGGGGCCGACGGGCGUCUCCGCCGGCCACGACGCCUCCCGCGAGGUCGCCGACACCUCCAGGGACGAGGGGUCCCGGGGUGCCAACAGCCCUGCGGAAGGGGACAACGACGACGACGUCGUGCCCCUGUCCCGCCUGCCCGCCGUGCAAGGGAGCCAGCGCGGGGGCAGCCCACCGGGCCGGGGCUAAUUACCCGGCGUAGUGGGGGGUUCGGGCAGUAGCGGGAGCGCUCUGCCAGCACGGAAGGCGCUUCCCGCUGGGGGAAUCUUCACCGCCCGCAAGCUGGUGUUGAACCCAGCGAGGUAAGUUCUCUUCCUUAAACCAUAAUUCUUGUUUUUCCUGGUAGCACUUCGAUGAAUAACCCUUCUUGCCUCAGGCCGGCGGGGAAGAGAGGACCGGUGAGCUCCCCACCGGCGACCUUGAGCAAAAAGCCACGCACGGCCCCCGGUACGAGUGGGGGAAGCCCCCAGGUCGGGACGGGGGCGCGGCGACGGCGGCAGCAGCGGGUGUGGGCGAGGCCGCCCAGACCACAAGCAAGCCGGCGGUCUUGGGAGCAGGUGCGCCCGGCAACCUGAUCGGGUACAGUUGCUCUUUCUUUUCCUUUCAAGCACCUAACACUUUUUCUGCUUUCUCAUCCAGGACCAGGAAGCGUUGCCGGGGCCGACCCGGCAACGAUCGACGACGGCCGCCAAGAGGCGUCCGACGCAGGGGGAGGGGACACUGCGCAAGGUACAACAGGCCCGCCACAGCAUCCCCCCCGUCGCUUCUUUAUGUGUUGUACUUCACUUCUUCUUAACAGUUCUCCUUGCAGCCCCUCCUGCCGCUGCAUGAGCGGAGGCCGCAGAACUCACCCCAGCGGGCACCGUGACCGACACGGAAACCACCCCUGAGGUGACGGUGGAGCAACCCCCCACCGGACAGAGCGGGGACGGAGGGGGCUCUCCUGACAUCCAAGCCGCCGACCCGGUGUUAAUCGAGGAGGCAGCGGCCACCGGGUCUGAGCCCCUCAAUCACACCGCGACGGAGGCCAGCCGCCGCCCAGCCCCCAGGCAGGGGCAAGGGACGAGCUCGCGGCCGGUGGAAGCGGGAGGGUGCGGUCACCUUUGCCGCCACCCGAGGAGGUGGUGCGGUCACAAAUGGUGGCCGCAGGUGCCUACUCGAGUUCCGGGGCGAUCGCGGGCGCCGGCUGGGGUCUGCUGAACUGGGACCCUAGCAUCUUCGACCAGGGGCACGAGAUCAUAGAGGGCAUCAAGUGGCAGCAGCUGGGAUUCGUCAGCUGCUACAACAGGGUGCGCCAACAGCUCUCGGCAGCCCAGGGUCGGCUAGACGGCGCACGGGAGGAGGUUGAGGAGCGUCGGCAGGAGCUGGCGCGCCUCCAGGAGGAGAUCUGGGUGGCGCAGCUAGCCCGAGCCGAGGCAUUCGAGCCCUCGGUCCCGGAAGCACACGCCCAGCGCCAGCUACAAGAGCUGCGUGUGGAGCACCAGCAGGUGCUCGAGUCGCUGGAGGCGGCGCGCCUUCGCGUCGAGGGGGAGCACCAGGAAGCACUAAGGGGCUUCCAGGAGCGCCUCGAUGAGAAAAGUGGCCUCAUCUCUAGCUACUCCUCCGAGAUCCAGCAGCUGUGGCAGCAACUCGGGGAGCAGGCCAUGGCAGCCCAGGCUGUGGCGACGCGAGCCGCGUCCCGGGAGAAGGAGUUGCAGGAGUAGUUCCAAACCCAGGAACGCGAGUUCCAGGAGCAGCUCAAGGCCACGACCGACGCCAACGCAGCCCUGAAGGGCGAGCUGGACGUCGCGAGGGGCGAUCUUCGACAGCUUGACGAGGAAAACUCGGAGAAGACAUCGAAGAUCUCUGGGCUGAAGGACGAGCUCUGGAGCCAGAAGGCGGAGACCGAGCUCGCCUGCCGCAACUAUGCGAAGCUCGGGAGCCAGCGCUAAGAGAGCACGGCCCUGCUCCGCAAGUUGGCGGAGGUGGGGAACGAGUCGCUGGCAAAGCGGGGGGUACCCCCGGUAGCCAUCGACGGCAGCGACGUCAGCACCCUCAUCCCCUUCUUCGUGGAGUUCGUGGGGAGGCUGACAGCCGUGGAGGACCUUAUCCGUAGCUUCGGGGACCGGCAAAUGUGUGUCGCCGCAUCUCAGGUUGCCGGCGCCAUCCUGCCGAGGGUCCACCAAGCCUUCCCGGAGUUCCCCUUCGAGACCAUCUUCAACGACUGGUUGCCGGAGGAGAACAAGGAGGAGCACGCCAAUGCCGUCAGACGCUUCGUCGAGGAGAGGGUUGCGCGGAUGACGGGGCAGGCUGGUGCUGGUGACGAUGAGGAGGAGGUCGCCGUCGAGGAGACGCCCGCUGUCGAGUCCGCCGCCCCGGAGGCACCCCCUGCGUAGCCGUUCCUUGUAGUUUUCUUCUUCUUUUUGUACUCCUGCAACUGGCACAAGGCGCCUUAUUUCGUGUUAGCCUUUUGCCAUUCUGAAUGUCAUCCGUGAACUCAUUCGUUUGAAUUUUAUUAUAUCCAAUGCUAUUUUACUUGCUUUUUCGCCUAAGACUAGCUUGCCGAGGAAGGGCUCUGUCCUUCCCGUGCUUUAACCUUGCGUAUCCGGGGACUCGCCAACUACGUGCUUGGCCAGACUAGGGACCCGGGACGGACCCGCGGUGCCGACCUAGGGCCAAAUUGUAGCGGCUAGUCACUCCUCGUGUGGGUUAACUACCUGUAACAACCCGAGAGCAACACUUUACAUUUAAGCCCUUGUUGGACCUGUUUGUAAUUGAAUUAAUGUUGCAUAACAUUUUACAUUUGCAUCCAUGCCAUGUCAUCCCUUCUUUGCUUCGCAUAAUUUGAAAAUUACAUUUUUAACUUGUGGUUUGAAAUCUUGUUGUUUGAUUUUUCUAGAAGAUUCAAAUAUGAAUCGUCCUUCCUUCUUUGAGUUUAAAUUCCUUUUCCGAUAUUUUACAAAUGAUAUUCAAAUGGGUUUUGUUUUUAAACCUUUGCCCCAUUUGAAUAUUUCCCAAAUAGUAGUACCAUAUUUGAAUUCUCCUACUUCUCAGCUUUUCAAAAUGGUAUUUGAAUUUUGAAUCAAAAGCUAUUUGCAAAAGAGAAAACAGAAAACAGAAAAAGGAAAAAGGAAAAAGAAAAAAAAUACUUACCUCAGGCCCGAGCCGGCCCAGCAGCCGCCUCGGCCCAUUCUCCCGCGCGCCCCGCAGCCCAGCUCGGCCCAACAGCCCGGCGCACCGCCCCGCAUAGCGCUUUUCCUCAGCGAAGGCGCCUUCCGCGAAGUACGCCACCUCUCACAGAGUCUUCUUCCUCCUCCGGCCUCCCUCUGCUUUUCCCUUGUUCUGCACUCAGGUAGCGCCACGUCCUCCCUUUUGACGCGACGGCCUCUGCUGCGCCUCCUAUUUGAGCCGCUCCGCGCCCUCCUCUCAGCCCUAGCGCAGGGAAAGCCCUAGACGGACUUUCCUCCCUCUCUUUCUGUUCGUCGCCGCCAUCUUCUUCCUGGCCGCGGGCACUUUCACGUCAUGCCGCCGUUCCAGCCCGAACCAAGAAGAACCGCGCGCGUCACCUUGUUCGCCCGAAGCUGCUCUUCGUCUGGACGCAAGGAAUCGGAAGGGGAUCGACUACGUGAGGGCGCAUCGACCCCAACUCUCCCUUCGACCGCCACCACUCUCCGACGAAAUUCUGGCGAGGAGAGCCUCCCCUCGGACCAUCUUGUGCACGGUGAGCUCCGCCUCGUCGUUGCGCAUCUGGCGCUCCCUCUCUCCCUCUUUUUGGUUCCCUGUAACACGAGAAUGACGGAGACCACACCCUGGACGCCGCCGGUGAGCUUCUGCUCCAUGCCGCGCGCGCGUGCCAGAGGGAGUCGUGCGCUAGCUAUCGUGCUAGCUUGCCCUACGUGAAGCGCCGGAACAAAAGGCCAUGCCUUUGCACGCUUUGCCGUUCGUUUGGUUCGCCGGCGUCGUGCCGUUCCAUGGCCAUCGUGGGCGAGCCCAUGGACCGGCCUGUGGGCUUUGUUCUUAAUGAACGAAGCGGCUGGAUCUACAAGAUCCGUGUCUUACCACAGUGGCGCUCCCUUUGCCAGCGCGCCUCGACGCGGGUUCGAUUCCUCCCCGGUGCGGAAUAAAACCCCCAAUUUUUGGAGUUUCACCGGCCACUGACAUGUCAGUUGCCUGGUGCACCGCUGCACCCGGUGGACUGAGUCCAUGCGCCGGAUCCGCGUGGUUUUUUUCCUUUUGGUUUUUGUUUAAUUGCAUGAAAUUGUUUUAUCUUGUUUAAAUCCUAGUAAAUGCAUGCUAAAUCCAAUUUGGGCAAACCAUAUAUGUUUUGAAAUCAGAAAAAUGUAAGGAAUUUAACUGUGCUGUUAGUUUUUCAUUUUGACGUUUUGAAUUUCAAAUCUGUCCCAGAUUUGAAAUUCAAACGUAUGAACUUGUUUAGUCUCUAAUUUAAAACUAGUAGCUCAUCUGUAUUAAAGUAAACAUCAAAGUUGAUCCUUGUAACUUGUAGAACAUAGUAGCAUACUUGGUUAGGCCAUUUGAGUCCUUUAAAGCUGCUGUUGACUUUAAUUAAGUCACCUAAUGAUUAACUUUGAUGCUAAUGGAAUCAAUUCGUUUGCAUAUUGUUGCAUCAUGAUGUCACAUGUCAUUUCAUGUCGUAUUGUGCAUCGCACCUAUUGAUUGUUACCUUAUUUGUGUAUUCGGUGUUUUGGUUCUUUACGAUAGCGACUCCGACUUACUCCGUCGACGAUCCGAGUUCCCACACUUCUUCGGACCCCCUCUCUCGGUGCCCAGCGACCGAGGAUCCAGGCAAGCAGCCAUUCCUUGAACAUGUUGUUUAUACCCAAUGUCUCUUUCUCAUUCUUGCACUAAGUUACGUUCUCAGUUCUUGUCACGAUGCCUCUAGGAUUGCAUAGCUUUAGUCAGCUCUACUCAAAUGCCUGUUGUCUUGUUCCUUAUCCUAUGACCAUGUCACAUGUUUGUUCUUCUGCCCUAGUUGGUCAUUAGAAGUUUUUCUUAGCUUGCUAGUCUAGUGUCCUUACUUGGGGUUAUACAAUUGCUACAUCCACAUGCUACUUUCUGUAUUUAAUUGCAAUUAUUAAACUGUGACAUGUUAUAUUACCUGCACAAGGCAACGAUGGGAGGCUGUGCUAACGCAUUGGUUUUUUGUUCCAUUGGCGCCGACCUAAGGACCGAGUUCUCGUUUUCGCCGACUGAAGAAACUUCGUGCUAACCGCUCGUGGGAGAAUAUAUGGGUUCCCCCUCAGCUUAGUACUCGUUUCAUAGCUCUUCCAGGGGCCACAUAGUUCGGGCAUUCCAUUUGGCAUAUCGCAUAUACACUGGUGUUGUGUUGGAGACUUGUUGGUAACCUUGCAUUCAUAUAGGAUUGCUGCACUAGUCUGGAGUGGUCAUCCUGCGGGCCCUAAACCACUACCAGCUGUCCUCGCAACUCUUGAGUCCGUACGAUGCUUCGGCCGGGCUCUCGUUUUGGAUUAGACUCAGUUGGGUGGUCCUCUGAAUUAGUUGUGGGGCUUGAAAACGUCGUGUCGCCCAAUCCUGCCGACACACGUCUUUGUGUGUUCCUACUCGAGUGGCAACAAGGGUUGGAUGAACAUGUACGGGGAAAUUGGCACACCCUGUAGGGAUAAAUCUUUUCGGAAAUCCGUGUCUGCGGUUAUGGACGACUUGGUUGGUCAUUACUUGAUCAUAGAGAACUUAAUCUUUUAAUCAACUUAAUCUCAUAAACUUGAGUAGUAAUUAGCCUUAAUCAUGGAUAUGCUUAAAACUGCUUAAGUGUGAGUGUCUUUGGAUCAUUUCCUCACAAGGGGUUGAGGGGGUAAUAAGAUGUUGCGUUUAUUUGGUGUUAGUUAUUAGAAGAUCACCUCACUUAGUAGACGCUUCUUAUCCUCUACUUAGACGAUGUCAUUAGUGUGUCUCUCUAGAGAUAUUGCUGUUGCAUAACCCCACCAUAUUAUCCAUCCUUUGAGACUUGUUGCAUAUCUAGUUUAGAUCUCCUGUAAGUCUUGCGAGUACCUUGUACUCAGUUGCUUUGCAACGUUGUUUUCUCCAGAGUUUCCAGAGGAGCAGGUGAGUGGUUACUUCGUGGAGUUCGACGACGACAGCUUCGACGUUUAGCCAGCAGAUUCCAGAGCAGGGUUCUGUGAACUUGUGGCGGGCUCUCCUUUUAGUUUCAGCCUCUUAUGCAAGAAUUGUAACUUGUCCGUACUCGGACCUAACUUGCUUCCGCUGGUGUAAUGAUGAUUGUGGACAUGUGUCCGUGAGUUGUAAUAACUUGGUAUUUCGCUCCUUGUAUGAGCUUGGCUUAAUCUUGAGUGUUAGAGUGAUGUAAUGUUAUCAUUUUUGUUCCAACCUGCGGUGGACACAUUGCGUGUAUGUUGUGAAGUGUUCAUCGUAGGGAGGCACUGGUACUUAAUUUAUGCGCGAGUUAGCAUUUGGGGCUAAAUUGCAUAAAUUCGGUCCCGGAGUCUCACACUACCCCAGCGCGCACGCCUCCGGGACGGACCUGCGAGCCACGUGUGGGGGCUGUCCUCCCCCCGCAAGCGUCCUUCCCACGCUUCGG